UGGGUCGGCCAGACGGUCGCGUCGGAGACACGCCCCCGCGAGGGGGAACGGCUCCGCCGAGGAACGUCCGGGCUCCGCAGAGCAGGGCGGUGGGUAACACCCACCCGGAGCAAUCCGCGAGAAAGUGCAACAGAGAGCAGACCGCCUCCGGCCUCGUGCCGGCGGUAAGGGUGAAACGGUGGUGUAAGAGACCACCAGGGGCCCGAGCGAUCGGGCUCGCUGGGUAAACCUCGCCCGGAGCAAGGUCAGACAGACACCGUCGAGGCGGCUCGCUGAGGUGUCGGGUAGACCGCUGGAACGUGCCGGCAACGUCACGUCGAGAGAGAUGGCCGUCGAACGGGAGAGAUCCCGGGAACAGAACCCGGCGUAUCGGCCGGCCCACUUG
Molecule: RNase P RNA, 385 nt
Filed under: Yonghaparkia sp. Soil809
Lineage: Bacteria; Bacillati; Actinomycetota; Actinomycetes; Micrococcales; Microbacteriaceae
Also listed under: 1 other name
Description: bacterial RNase P
Rfam family: Bacterial RNase P class A
About the family: Ribonuclease P (RNase P) is a ubiquitous endoribonuclease, found in archaea, bacteria and eukarya as well as chloroplasts and mitochondria. Its best characterised activity is the generation of mature 5'-ends of tRNAs by cleaving the 5'-leader elements of precursor-tRNAs.
Source: RNAcentral